RNAcentral lists this ribosomal RNA (495 nucleotides) under uncultured bacterium. Its description in RNAcentral is "partial 16S ribosomal RNA". It matches the Rfam family "Bacterial small subunit ribosomal RNA", at positions 30 to 523 of the family's 1533-position model. The record is from RNAcentral.
AUUGAACGCUGGCGGCAGGCCUAACACAUGCAAGUCGAACGGUAGCACAGAGAGCUUGCUCUCGGGUGACGAGUGGCGGACGGGUGAGUAAUGUCUGGGAAACUGCCCGAUGGAGGGGGAUAACUACUGGAAACGGUAGCUAAUACCGCAUAACGUCGCAAGACCAAAGUGGGGGACCUUCGGGCCUCACACCAUCGGAUGUGCCCAGAUGGGAUUAGCUAGUAGGUGGGGUAAUGGCUCACCUAGGCGACGAUCCCUAGCUGGUCUGAGAGGAUGACCAGACACACUGGGACUGAGACACGGUCCAGACUCCUACGGGAGGCAGCAGUGGGGAAUAUUGCACAAUGGGCGCAAGCCAUGCCGCGUGUGUGAAGAAGGCCUUAUGGUUGUAAAGCACUUUAAGCGAGGAGGAGGCUCUUUUGGUUAAUACCCAAGAUGAGUGGACGUUACUCGCAGAAUAAGCACCGGCUAACUCUGUGCCAGCCGCCGCAGUAA